RNAcentral lists this ribosomal RNA (643 nucleotides) under Rhodotorula sp. 9f-CH10. RNAcentral describes it as "SSU rRNA". It matches the Rfam family "Eukaryotic small subunit ribosomal RNA", at positions 625 to 1271 of the family's 1831-position model. The record is from RNAcentral. Lineage: Eukaryota; Fungi; Basidiomycota; Microbotryomycetes; Sporidiobolales; Sporidiobolaceae.
AGCUCGUAGUCGAACUUCGUGGCUCUGUCAGCCGGUGCGCCUCCUUGGUGUNGACUUGGNUGAUGGAGCCUUACCUCCNGGGGNCCUNNUNAUGNCCUUUACUGGGUGGCGUCGCAAACCAGGACUUUUACUUUGAAAAAAUUAAAGUGUUCAAAGCAGGCCUUUGCCCGAAUACAUUAGCAUGGAAUAAUAAAAUAGGACGCGCGUUCCCAUUUUGUUGGUUUCUGAGAUCGCCGUAAUGAUUAAUAGGGAUAGUUGGGGGCAUUUGUAUUCCGUCGUCAGAGGUGAAAUUCNUGGAUUGCCGGAAGACAAACUACUGCGAAAGCAUUUGCCAAGGAUGUUUUCAUUGAUCAAGAACGAAGGAAGGGGGAUCGAAAACGAUUAGAUACCGUUGUAGUCUCUUCUGUAAACUAUGCCAAUUGGGGAUCGGUACAGGAUUUUUAAUGACUGUAUCGGCACCCGAAGAGAAAUCUUUAAAUGAGGUUCGGGGGGGAGUAUGGUCGCAAGGCUGAAACUUAAAGGAAUUGACGGAAGGGCACCACCANGUGUGGAGCCUGCGGCUUAAUUUGACUCAACACGGGGAAACUCACCAGGUCCAGACUCAAUAAGGAUUGACAGAUUGAUAGCUCUUUCUUGAUCUUGU